CUAAGUUCAGCGGGUAUUCCUACCUGAUCCGAGGUCAACCAUAGAAGGGUUUUCCGGCCGGAGUACGCUCUGCACCAGAACGAGAUAUAAUACUACGUUCAGUUUCAGAGCGCACCCGCCACUGUCUUUAGGGGGCUGCAGCGCAGGCCCCCAACGCCAGGCAGAGCCUGAGGGUUGAAAUGACGCUCGAACAGGCAUGC
Molecule: unclassified non-coding RNA, 200 nt
Filed under: Menispora sp.
Lineage: Eukaryota; Fungi; Ascomycota; Sordariomycetes; Chaetosphaeriales; Chaetosphaeriaceae
Description: partial internal transcribed spacer 2
Source: RNAcentral